GUGUAUUGUGCUCCGGGUACAAAGCUGAAUCAAACAUUAAUGGCAUGAUCUAUUGAUAAAAGAAAAAAAAAAGAAAAAUUAUUAUGUUGGAAAAAGCACAGGGCAUUAAGGAAUGAUCAACUCAUUAACAAAUGAGCAGAUAUACUGGUUGAUGGCUUUUUUAGAUGAUUAGCUGAGAAUACAUAUUUCUUUGUUGAUGCUUACAAGCUGCAUGGUAUAUUCUAUGUUUGUAACACAAUUGCUGUUUUUCUGAAGCUUAUUUAACUUUGCCAGAUAAUAUACACCAUUGUUUCUAAAAUGAUGCAGCUAUAUGCUCGUAGGCACUUUUUGUUUCCUCCAUUGAGUCUUGAGGAACAUAAUGACUGUGUGAUUGCAGUUGUACGCUGUGAAGCACAAGUACAGAUUUCCUAAUCAAUAUUAUCUUUUCUUUCUUUCUUUCUUUCAAUUUUGCAUCACAUUUGUUAUUCUAUAUUCUUAAAUGGAGACUUUUCCGUGGGUGAGAUAUGCUAUUUUUUUUCCAAUCAAGUAAUAAAUCUGUAAUCUUGUAUUGUAUACCACUUUUCUAUUUUUGGAGUCUAUGAUGUAGAUUUUACUUAACUCAACCUUCCCUUCUUCUACCCAUUGUUAAGAUCCCUUGUUAUUCUAACUUCUACGGAUUUGUUGGUGAGCCUUCACUUUCAUCUGUGAACUUUAGUUACUAUUCAUGAUGUGAUAAGAAGAACAAUACAAUAUGCUAACCAAUUGUAUAUUCAGUUACAGAGCAUGCAUGUUGUAUAUAGUAGCAAAAGACUUAUAGGUUAUGGUCCGUAUGGAAUUGUAUCUCUUUCUCGUACUUUUUUUGGUUCUACAUAAUUUUGAAGUUUUUUCUUCCCAACCCCUUGUGUAGUUUUAGGAGUCUGGCAGUAUUUUUUUAGCUGUUUGAAGGGAAUUGGGUUGCAAUAAAGGAUUUAAAAUGGUUUGGUGCUAGUUUACAAUUGGUUUGGUUUCUCCUUUUCCUGCUUUGAUGUUCGCCCCUCUCAUCUUUUUAAGUUCAUUGUUAUGUGAUAUCUUUGUUGCUCAAGCUCAAAUGCUAAUUUAUUUGAUUGCUGCAAUCAGGAUGCAUUGCUCCAGAAACUUCUCAAUGAUAAUUACCUGUCAGAGGAAGAAAGCCUUUGAAUUCUAUUUGGACUUUUGGGAACCCUUCUAUUUUAGGAGCCUAGAGCACACCUAAAAUUCCAUGUGAGGUAGCACCAUAUGAAGGGAAAUUACUGAUUCAGGUUGGAGAAUGUGUUCUUGGCAUUUUGGCAGAGUAACAGAAUUUCAAGUUUUCAACUCUUUCAAAAGAUGAUGAUGGGACUUCUAAAAUUGAAUGGAAGGAAAGGCUCUUGGUUUGAGUUGCUUGAGAUAUUACUUGGCAUACAAGUCAAAUGUCAUGUGGUGUCAUGGCAAGAAAUCGGGUGUUCUUCGUUUGGGAAAGAAUGUUGGUUCAGCUAAAACAUGAACAAAAAAGCGUGUUGGGGUAGCAGUUUACAACUGAGCAUCUUCACUAGAAACAUUAUCCUUGAGCUUGAGAGAUAAGAGAAAAAGUGAUCGGAUGGCGCAUUUUGACAGCAAAAAAGACUGAUUUUGGUGUCAAUGAGUUUCAUUUGACGAGUUGGUUAUCUCUUCCUGACAAAUGUAAAUCGUUUGGAAGAGUAAUGCUUACGUUGGGAUUCUCAACUGGUUCUUCUACACAAAUGAUUAUGGAGGAAGCAAAUAGUAAGUCAACUUCUAGAGCGCGCCUUUCUUGUUUGUAAAAUAAAAUUUGUAUCGAGCACCUUACCUCUUCGCUUUUGUAAUAAAAUGCGUGCCACAGUGGCAUGAUAUGGGCAUCAUGUGCUCAGGUGCAAACGUCAUGCACUUUUUUUUCAUUUCCUUUCAAGCUUGGGAUUCUAAGGUUAUGAUGUUGUGGGGCAAGAAAGCUAGGGGAAAGCUAAGAUCACAUUGUGUGGCAAAUGAUGGCAGAGUAAAAUAGAACUGGCUAAUUAGGACUGAAGCCUGUGUAGAGAGAUGAUGUAAGUUAGUGACAAUGGUGUCUCUUUCAUGAGGGGAAAAAGAAAAGGACUUGUGCCUUACAUGCUUUUUGCUAACCCUAUGAACACAUGCCUUGGCCCAACAUGUAGCCUCGCCUAUGGAUAGCUUUAAUGACAUGAAUUUGGGAUCUUUUGGCCUUCUUUUCACA
Populus trichocarpa (black cottonwood) is the source of this 2200-nucleotide RNA transcript. RefSeq lists it as uncharacterized. The transcript is spliced from 5 exons. The record is from RefSeq and is a predicted model, not a curated record. NCBI's taxonomy places the organism in Eukaryota, Viridiplantae, Streptophyta, Magnoliopsida, Malpighiales, Salicaceae.